GUGAGUGGCGGACGGGUGAGUAACGCGUGGGUAACCUUCCUUGUUCAGGGGGACAACAGUUGGAAACGACUGCUAAUACCGCAUAAGCGCAAAGAUUUGCAUGAUUUGAUGUGAAAAGUUUUUUCGGUACAAGAUGGACCCGCGUCUGAUUAGCUAGUUGGUGAGGUAACGGCCCACCAAGGCGACGAUCAGUAGCCGACCUGAGAGGGUGACCGGCCACAUUGGGACUGAGACACGGCCCAAACUCUUACGGGAGGCAGCAGUGGGGAAUAUUGCACAAUGGGCGAAAGCCUGAUGCAGCGACGCCGCGUGAGCGAAGAAGUAUUUCGGUAUGUAAAGCUCUAUCAGCAGGGAAGAUAAUGACGGUACCUGACUAAGAAGCACCGGCUAAAUACGUGCCAGCAGCCGCGGUAAUACGUAUGGUGCAAGCGUUAUCCGGAUUUACUGGGUGUAAAGGGAGCGUAGGCGGUUUUACAAGUUUGAUGUGAAAGCCCGGGGCUCAACUCCGGUAUUGCAUUGGAAACUGUAGAACUAGAGUGUCGGAGGGGUAAGUGGAAUUCCUAGUGUAGCGGUGAAAUGCGUAGAUAUUAGGAGGAACACCAGUGGCGAAGGCGGCUUACUGGACGAUUACUGACGCUGAG
This 641-nucleotide ribosomal RNA is filed under the name Pseudobutyrivibrio sp. R21. RNAcentral's name for it is "bacterial SSU rRNA". It matches the Rfam family "Bacterial small subunit ribosomal RNA", at positions 91 to 750 of the family's 1533-position model. Lineage: Bacteria; Bacillati; Bacillota; Clostridia; Lachnospirales; Lachnospiraceae. The record is from RNAcentral.